GAUGAACGCUAGCGGGCAGGCCUAACACAUGCAAGUCGAGGGAGAGGUUAUCUUCGGGUAACCAAAACCGGCGCACGGGUGUGUAACGCGUAUACAAUCUGCCUUUCACAUAGGGAUAGCCCGAAGAAAUUUGGAUUAAUACCUAAUGGUAUAUAAGAGCGGCAUCGUUUUUAUAUUAAAGCUACGGUGGUGAAAGAUGAGUAUGCGUUCUAUUAGCUAGUUGGAGAGGUAACGGCUCCCCAAGGCGACGAUAGAUAGGGGUUCUGAGAGGGAUGUCCCCCACACUGGUACUGAGAUACGGACCAGACUCCUACGGGAGGCAGCAGUGAGGAAUAUUGGACAAUGGUCGGAAGACUGAUCCAGCCAUGCCGCGUGCAGGAUGAAGGUCCUAUGGAUUGUAAACUGCUUUUGUAAGGGAAGAAUAAGGAGUACGUGUACUUUGAUGACGGUACCUUACGAAUAAGCAUCGGCUAACUCCGUGCCAGCAGCCGCGGUAAUACGGAGGAUGCGAGCGUUAUCCGGAAUCAUUGGGUUUAAAGGGUCCGUAGGCGGGCUGAUAAGUCAGAGGUGAAAGCGCUUAGCUCAACUAAGCAACUGCCUUUGAAACUGUCAGUCUUGAAUGAUUGUGAAGUAGUUGGAAUGUGUAGUGUAGCGGUGAAAUGCUUAGAUAUUACACAGAACACCGAUAGCGAAGGCAUAUUACUAACAAUUUAUUGACGCUGAUGGACGAAAGCGUGGGGAGCGAACAGG
Molecule: ribosomal RNA, 750 nt
Filed under: uncultured Capnocytophaga sp.
Lineage: Bacteria; Pseudomonadati; Bacteroidota; Flavobacteriia; Flavobacteriales; Flavobacteriaceae
Description: bacterial SSU rRNA
Rfam family: Bacterial small subunit ribosomal RNA
Source: RNAcentral